This 764-nucleotide ribosomal RNA is filed under the name uncultured bacterium. RNAcentral's name for it is "bacterial SSU rRNA". It matches the Rfam family "Bacterial small subunit ribosomal RNA", at positions 8 to 796 of the family's 1533-position model. The record is from RNAcentral.
AGAGUUUGAUCCUGGCUCAGAAUGAACGUUGGCGGCGUGGAUUAGCAUGCAAGUCGAACGGGCCGCAAGGCCAGUGGCGGAAGGGUGAGUAAGGCGACGGUAACCAACCCCAUCGGGUAUAGCCGCGGGAAACUGCGGGUAUCCCCAGCGACGUCCGGAGCGGGCAUCCGCACCGGACCAAAGUCCUGGCGCCGUGGGACGGGCCGUCGUGGUAUUAGGUCGUUGGCGGGGUAACGGCCCACCAAGCCUAUGAUGCCUACCGGGCGUGCGAGCGUGGCCCGGCACACUGGGACUGAGACACUGCCCAGACUCCUACGGGAGGCUGCAGUCGAGAAUCUUCGGCAAUGGGCGCAAGCCUGACCGAGCGACGCCGCGUGGAGGACGAAGGCCUUCGGGUUGUAAACUCCUGUCGAGGGGGAGGAAGGUCAGCAAUGGCUUGACCGAUCCCUGGAGGAAGCACGGGCUAAGUUCGUGCCAGCAGCCGCGGUAAGACGAACCGUGCGAACGUUAUUCGGAAUCACUGGGCUUAAAGCGCGUGUAGGCGGAUGGGGACGUCGGUUGUUGAAAGCCCCCGGCUCAACCGGGGAAUGGGCACCGAAACGCCCCGUCUCGAGGGACGUAGGGGGACCUGGAACUUCCGGUGGAGCGGUGAAAUGCGUUGAGAUCGGAAGGAACGCCCGUGGCGAAAGCGAGGUCCUGGACGUCUACUGACGCUGAGACGCGAAAGCUAGGGUAGCGAACGGGAUUAGAUACCCCCGUAGUCC